Molecule: ribosomal RNA, 253 nt
Filed under: uncultured bacterium
Lineage: Bacteria
Description: partial 16S ribosomal RNA
Rfam family: Bacterial small subunit ribosomal RNA
Source: RNAcentral
UACGUAGGGUCCAAGCGUUGUCCGGAUUUAUUGGGCGUAAAGAGCUCGUAGGCGGCCCUCCACGUCGGAUGUGAAAGCUCAGGGCUCAACCCUGAGAUGCCAUUCGAUACGGGAAGGCUAGAGGUAGGUAGGGGAAAGUGGAAUUCCUGGUGUAGCGGUGAAAUGCGCAGAUAUCAGGAGGAACACCGGUGGCGAAGGCGGCUUUCUGGGCCUUACCUGACGCUGAGGAGCGAAAGCUGGGGGAGCGAACAGG